This 229-nucleotide ribosomal RNA is filed under the name uncultured bacterium. RNAcentral describes it as "partial 16S ribosomal RNA". It matches the Rfam family "Bacterial small subunit ribosomal RNA", at positions 568 to 796 of the family's 1533-position model. The record is from RNAcentral.
UACGUAGGCGGAAAAUUAAGUCAGUAGUGAAAUCCUGCAGCUUAACUGUAGAACUGUUAUUGAUACUGGUUUUCUUGAAUAUAGUUGAGGUAGGCGGAAUGUGUAAUGUAGCGGUGAAAUGCUUAGAUAUUACACAGAACACCGAUUGCGAAGGCAGCUUACUAAACUAUGAUUGACGCUGAUGCACGAAAGCGUGGGGAGCGAACAGGAUUAGAUACCCUGGUAGUCC